AACUAAUUAUAUAUACACUUAUAUGGUAUGUUCUGCAUAUCUAUAGCUUGUCAUUUUUUGGAAAAAUAAGUUAACUUGUAUGAACAAUUUACUGGCAUUGUUGUGCAAAUACUGUUGCUCAUUACUCAAACACUCAAUAUAAGUAUUAUAUUCAAUACUCAUGGCAUUCAUAUUUGGUCCAAAUUAAAUGAUACAUGAUGGCAUUGCACUAUUACUUACAGAGACCAUAAAAAGAUAAAAAGUCUUCAAAGCCCAUAUCCCUAUGUUAUUAGACCUAAUGACCUACAUAUACAUCUGCAUUGAAGAAUCAAAAUAGGUUCAAGGUGAGCAAUUCUCUUACAAAUUAAAAAUUCUUUGCGUAAUGCUAAUGAUAUUUAACUUUUGAAUUUUAAACACAGGUAAAAGUAUGUGUUGUGUACAAUGCAAGGUCCUACAUAUGUGACGGCAACUUCUUUCAAGAAUGGUGGGGGAAAUGAUAUACAGCAAAUUUAAAGGAGGUUUACCAGCAGGUCAUUUGUACUGUGGGAACUGUGGAGGUAAAAGUGAAGCAGGGACCCAAUUCAGGGGCCAGGAUGGAUGUUAAUAUCAUCCAAGAAUUUCGAGACAUGUGCAACUUGAUGAAGACUUUACAAAACAAAAAUUGCUUAAUUAACACAUACUUUAACUUACAACCUCCUGUCAGACAUUUCUGCAAGGAAUCAAUUGUACCAUACACCAAAGGCUUAUAGUGAUUUUGACAUUUUUUAAGUUUAUGGUAUUUUUUAUGAAUCAUAACAAAUGGAUUCAGAAUCUCCUUGUUAGAGAUUAUGUUGAUUAUUCAGUUUGAAUGAGGGGACACAU
Ruditapes philippinarum (Manila clam) is the source of this 840-nucleotide long non-coding RNA. RefSeq lists it as uncharacterized. The record is from RefSeq and is a predicted model, not a curated record. The transcript has 2 exons. Lineage: Eukaryota; Metazoa; Mollusca; Bivalvia; Venerida; Veneridae.